GAUGAAGAACGUAGCGAAAUGCGAUAAGUAAUGUGAAUUGCAGAAUUCAGUGAAUCAUCGAAUCUUUGAACGCACAUUGCGCCCGCCAGUAUUCUGGCGGGCAUGCCUGUCCGAGCGUCAUUUCAACCCUCAAGCCCCCGGGCUUGGUGUUGGAGAUCGGCGAGCCCCCCGGGGCGCGCCGUCUCCCAAAUAUAGUGGCGGUCCCGCUGUAGCUUCCUCUGCGUAGUAGCACACCUCGCACUGGGAAACAGCGUGGCCACGCCGUAAAACCCCCCACUUCUGAAAGGUUGACCUCGGAUCAGGUAGGAAUACCCGCUGAACUUAAGCAUAUCAAUAAGCGGAG
RNAcentral lists this unclassified non-coding RNA (343 nucleotides) under soil metagenome. RNAcentral describes it as "partial contains 5.8S ribosomal RNA, internal transcribed spacer 2, and large subunit ribosomal RNA". The stretch from base 1 to 120 matches the Rfam family "5.8S ribosomal RNA", at positions 35 to 154 of the family's 154-position model. The record is from RNAcentral.